Molecule: ribosomal RNA, 230 nt
Filed under: uncultured bacterium
Lineage: Bacteria
Description: partial 16S ribosomal RNA
Rfam family: Bacterial small subunit ribosomal RNA
Source: RNAcentral
AAAGCGUGCGCAGGCGGUUUUGUAAGACUGUCGUGAAAUCCCCGGGCUCAACCUGGGAAUGGCGAUGGUGACUGCAAGGCUAGAGUUUGGCAGAGGGGGGCAGAAUUCCACGUGUAGCAGUGAAAUGCGUAGAUAUGUGGAGGAACACCGAUGGCGAAGGCAGCCCCCUGGGUCAAAACUGACGCUCAUGCACGAAAGCGUGGGGAGCAAACAGGAUUAGAUACCCCUGU